CCCUUAGAUGUCCUGGGCUGCACGCGCGCUACACUGAUGUGUCCAGUAAGCACCUAACCUCUUCCGAAAGGAACGGGUAACCUUUGCAAAGCACAUCGUGAUGGGGAUAGAUUAUUGCAAUUAUUAAUCUUCAACGAGGAAUUCCUAGUAAGCGCGAGUCAUCAGCUCGUGCUGAUUACGUCCCUGCCCUUUGUACACACCGCCCGUCGCUGCAACUGAUUGGGUGACCUGGUGAACAUCUUGGACCGGCCCACUCAAUUUCGAGAGGACUGGAAAAGGCCGUAAAUCAGGUACAUCUAGAAAUUGCAAAAGUCGUAACA
RNAcentral lists this ribosomal RNA (320 nucleotides) under uncultured eukaryote. RNAcentral's name for it is "partial 18S ribosomal RNA". It matches the Rfam family "Eukaryotic small subunit ribosomal RNA", at positions 1470 to 1796 of the family's 1831-position model. The record is from RNAcentral.